GCCAUGGGGUUGCGAUCAUCCCACGAGGCGUCAUGCUGAAGAAUCGCGUCCAGUAACACCGAUCAACGGAGGACGCGUCAUG
Molecule: non-coding RNA, 82 nt
Organism: Rhizobium leguminosarum bv. trifolii WSM597
Lineage: Bacteria; Pseudomonadati; Pseudomonadota; Alphaproteobacteria; Hyphomicrobiales; Rhizobiaceae
Source: Rfam